GCCAGCAGCCAUAUCCCCUGCAGCUCAUAGCUGGCAGCCCACUGUUGCUAAGCAGGGUUGAGCCUGGCCAGUACCUGGAUGGGAGACCUCCUGGGAAGCUACAGUAUGGUUGCUGCUGGAA
Molecule: ribosomal RNA, 121 nt
Filed under: Lepisosteus oculatus (spotted gar)
Lineage: Eukaryota; Metazoa; Chordata; Actinopteri; Semionotiformes; Lepisosteidae
Source: RNAcentral